Molecule: ribosomal RNA, 490 nt
Filed under: uncultured bacterium
Lineage: Bacteria
Description: partial 16S ribosomal RNA
Rfam family: Bacterial small subunit ribosomal RNA
Source: RNAcentral
AUUGAACGCUGGCGGCAGGCCUAACACAUGCAAGUCGAACGGUAACAGGAAGACGCUUGCUUCUUUGCUGACGAGUGGCGGACGGGUGAGUAAUGUCUGGGAAACUGCCUGAUGGAGGGGGAUAACUACUGGAAACGGUAGCUAAUACCGCAUAAUGUCGCAAGACCAAAGAGGGGGACCUUCGGGCCUCUUGCCAUCGGAUGUGCCCAGAUGGGAUUAGCUAGUAGGUGGGGUAACGGCUCACCUAGGCGACGAUCCCUAGCUGGUCUGAGAGGAUGACCAGCCACACUGGAACUGAGACACGGUCCAGACUCCUACGGGAGGCAGCAGUGGGGAAUAUUGCACAAUGGGCGCAAGCCUGAUGCAGCUAUGCCGCGUGUAUGAAGAAGGCCUUCGGGUUGUAAAGUACGUUCAGCGGGGAGGAAGGGAGUAAAGUUAAUACCUUUGCUCAUUGACGUUACCCGCAGAAGAAGCACCGGCUAACUCCGUG